Molecule: non-coding RNA, 43 nt
Organism: Glossina pallidipes
Lineage: Eukaryota; Metazoa; Arthropoda; Insecta; Diptera; Glossinidae
Source: Rfam
CCUCAGGCCUUUCUCAAGGCCAACAUUCCCAAACAAAAUAUGU